AGAGUUUGAUCCUGGCUCAGAGUGAACGCUGGCGGCGUGCUUUACACAUGCAAGUCGAACGAGAACGGGUUAUAGCUUGCUAUAAUUGUCAGCUAAGUGGCGAACGGGUGAGUAAUGUAUAGAUAACAUGCCUCUUAGAGGGGGAUAACAGUUGGAAACGACUGCUAAUACCCCAUAUUCCUUGUAUAUAUAAGUAUAUAAGGGAAACGGUUUAUUCUGCUAAGAGAUUGGUCUGUAUGGUAUCAGGUAGUUGGUGGGGUAAAAGCCUACCAAGCCUAUGACGCCUAGCUGGUCUGAGAGGAUGAUCAGCCACACUGGAACUGAGACACGGUCCAGACUCCUACGGGAGGCAGCAGUGGGGAAUAUUGCACAAUGGACGAAAGUCUGAUGCAGCAACGCCGCGUGGAGGAUGACACGUUUAGGUGCGUAAACUCCUUUUCUGAAGGAAGAAUUUUGACGGUACUUCAGGAAUAAGCACCGGCUAACUCCGUGCUAGCAGCCGCGGUAAUACGGGGGGUGCAAGCGUUACUCGGAAUCACUGGGCGUAAAGCGUACGUAGGCGGUUUAGUAAGUUGGGGGUGAAAUCCUAUGGCUCAACCAUAGAACUGCUUCCAAAACUACUAGACUAGAAUCAGGAAGGGGCAGAUGGAAUUAGUGGUGUAGGGGUAAAAUCCGUAGAGAUCACUAGGAAUACCAAUAGCGAAGGCGAUCUGCUGGUACUGUAUUGACGCUGAGGUACGAAAGCGUGGGGAGCAAACAGGAUUAGAUACCCUGGUAGUCCACGCCGUAAACGAUGAACACUAGUUAUUGGGAUGCUUGUCAUUUCAGUAAUGCAGUUAACACAUUAAGUGUUCCGCCUGGGGAGUACGGUCGCAAGAUUAAAACUCAAAGGAAUAGACGGGGACCCGCACAAGCGGUGGAGCAUGUGGUUUAAUUCGACUAUACGCGAAGAACCUUACCUGGACUUGACAUCCUAAGAAUCUUUCAGAGAUGAGAGAGUGUCUUUCGGGAAACUUAGUGACAGGUGCUGCACGGCUGUCGUCAGCUCGUGUCGUGAGAUGUUGGGUUAAGUCUCGCAACGAGCGCAACCCCUGAUAAUAGUUGCUAGCACUUCGGGUGAGCACUCUAUUAUGACUGCCUGGGUAACCAGGAGGAAGGUGGGGACGACGUCAAGUCAUCAUGGCCCUUAUGUCCAGGGCUACACACGUGCUACAAUGGAUAAGACAGAGUGAAGCAAUACUGCGAGGUGGAGCAAAUCACAAAACUUAUUCUCAGUUCGGAUUGUUCUCUGCAACUCGAGAGCAUGAAGCUGGAAUCGCUAGUAAUCGUAGAUCAGCAAUGCUACGGUGAAUACGUUCCCGGGUCUUGUACUCACCGCCCGUCACACCAUGGGAGUUGAGUUCACCCAAAGACGGGAUGCUAAAUUGGCUACCGUCCACGGUGGGCUCAGCGACUGGGGUGAAGUCGAAACAAGGUA
RNAcentral lists this ribosomal RNA (1477 nucleotides) under metagenome. RNAcentral describes it as "bacterial SSU rRNA". It matches the Rfam family "Bacterial small subunit ribosomal RNA". The record is from RNAcentral.